UACGUAGGGGGCUAGCGUUGUCCGGAAUCAUUGGGCGUAAAGAGCGUGUAGGCGGUCCGGUAAGUCCGCUGUGAAAGUCGGGGGCUCAACCCUCGAAUGCCGGUGGAUACUGUCGGGCUAGAGUGCGGAAGAGGCGAGUGGAAUUCCUGGUGUAGCGGUGAAAUGCGCAGAUAUCAGGAGGAACACCUAUUGCGAAGGCAGCUCGCUGGGACGUGACUGACGCUGAGGAGCGAAAGCAUGGGGAGCGAACAGG
RNAcentral lists this ribosomal RNA (253 nucleotides) under uncultured bacterium. Its description in RNAcentral is "partial 16S ribosomal RNA". It matches the Rfam family "Bacterial small subunit ribosomal RNA", at positions 524 to 776 of the family's 1533-position model. The record is from RNAcentral.